This is a long non-coding RNA of Marmota monax (woodchuck), 3497 nucleotides long. RefSeq lists it as uncharacterized. NCBI's taxonomy places the organism in Eukaryota, Metazoa, Chordata, Mammalia, Rodentia, Sciuridae. The transcript has 2 exons. The record is from RefSeq and is a predicted model, not a curated record.
AAAAGAAAGGAAGGAAAGAGAAAGAGAAAAAAAUUCUGAAAGCAAAGGCAGAAGUGGCCUGACAAAUACAUACAAUCCAUUGUUAUUCAGGAAAGAGUGAUUUGCUUUUAGAGACCUUUUGGGGAUCCCAAUCUUUAUAAAAAUGAAACUAGCACCUUUUCUGAAGGAAAGUUACCACUGGGGUCACCCAGUUUUUCAAAAGUGAAUCCAGAGAAUGGGAGAAGAGCAAAAGGGGAGAAGGGAGAGAGAAGAAAAAGAGGAGAGAAGGGACUGGAAGAGGAUCUGGAAUUUUCGGGAGGCUGAGGGGGCGGUAAGGCAGCAGAAGGCAGAGUCAAGUUGUUGAGGGAGCGAACAUUUUUAUCAAGUGCGGGGGAUUUUAUGGUCAUGAUUUGAGGACUUACCAGGGAGGUAGAAAUUCAAUGGCUUGUUCUAAAUCAUCCCUACACCGUGCCAGAAAUUUCUGACGGAAGGAAAAUGUUUCUAUUAUAAGAAAAAAACAAAACAAGAAAAAGAGAGAAGAUAAUUUAUAAACACCCAAUGGAGCAUAGAUUUAUUUGUGAAGCUCAAGUUGAGAAGAAACUCCACUUUUCUCUUUGCACCCGGUUCUGGGGAGGAAAAAAAAAAGAGGCUGGGGUAAUUUUGCGGGGUUGGUUAUCUAUUUCUCCUGCAGGUUUAUCCGAGGGGAGGCAGGGAUCUGGCGGCUUCGGGAGGAAUUUGGAAAUUUGGAUUUGAAGGUGCUGUGGGCAGAUACAGCGCUGAUGCCAGAACGAAAAGUGCUUGAGUCCAGGCCUUCAUCUGCUAAAUUACAUAAAGACCGGCGCCCCUAAGGUUUGCCUGGGCAGGGGGGCAGCAGAGCUGGAUCCCCCCGCGCGCGGGAGCCACAGCUCUCACCUGGAAGCCGCGGAACGCGGGAGGGAACCGAGCUCCUGCCCCCUGCCGCAGUGCCUGCGCCCACAGCUAUCCCGAAAACGCUCUUUUCCCGACCCCCGACCCCGAUCAAUACGGGGAGUGUGGAGCAUCCAGAGGAGAUAUCCGAACCUUCCCGCACCCGCCGCCCUGGGGAACUCAUACCCCGCGCCUGGGUCGCCAGGCGCGCGCCCAGCCCAGACCCGGACUGGUACAAAGGCUCUGGAGCCUGAGCUCCAGCGGAGCGACCCCGGGGGCCCAACCGCUUGGGGAACCUCUGAAUCCCCAUAAAAGCCAAGACUGCAUUCCUCCCCAAACUGCCCCUUCUCUGGACUGGCUCACCAGGUUCCCUCUCCAGCCAGUGUGGGCAGCCCUCCUCCUGGCAGCUUCCUUUCCAUCCGUCCCUCUUCUGCCGGUUUGUCCCUCUCACCUGACCUGAUCACCCGCAUCCGUCGACAUUCCGCUUGCUCCCCUGGACGGAAAAUGUCAUUUUCCCAAGUCAAUUCUCUUUGAUUUGGACCCAUUAUUCCUAUUAUUACUCUUAUUCCCCGUUUUUACGCAUUUGUUGCCCAACCGAACAGAGCCACUGGGCGAGAAACACUGAGCCCCCAUGAGGGAAAUUCAGAAAAUUGACCAUUUGAGGGGAGGGGAACACUACUAUAUCUGAAAUCUAUAAAAUGGGGUGGAAAUACCAUAACGAACCCUAUAUUUUUAUUACGUGCAAAUUAUUCAUGACUUUUGGUAGCGCUCAGUUCAUAGAUUGAGACCCGAACAAGGUGCGGUGUUGGAAUAAACCAGAGUCGGUAGGCGCCGCACCAGAAAUUUUCACGUGGAGCAAGGGUGCCAUCUAGCGGCAGCUUUGCAAAAAGGUUCCCACCACUGGUUCUGCCAGGUUCUCUGAGAGCCAGCCACCACGGUGACAAGCGAGAGAAACUUUCAUUAUUAAUAGAAAAGGGGGAGGGAAAGAGCGGGCUAGAGAAAAGUCAUUGGAAUCACGAAACGGUUCAUGAAAUUGUGCAGAUAAAGUAAAAGAAUAAAAAACACGGGAGGAAGAAAAAAGGAAGUUAUAAGCUUUUUUCUUUCUACUUUCAGCGCCCCCCGCCUGCAACCAGCCCCUUCUACAGAAGACCGCCAAGCAGUGCGCCUUUAUGCACUCCGAUCGGCUCCAGCCUCGCCUUUUGCGUUUCCUUUGAAGAAACAAGCUGACUCCUUGGCUCAAUCUCAGCGCCGGCUGAGCCAACGGAGCCUAGGAUGGCCAGGCAACCUAGUCUACACCAGCUAUAAAGCCAGAUUCAUUUCCAUCCCUAACGGAACCCUCCUCGGAAGGCGUAAGGGAACCUCGCUAUCUCUGCCUCUCUAAGAGGAUCACUUCAUCCUUUCGUUAGAGAGGGGUAGGCCUGGCAUUUUGCAGGCUCUCUUCACUGGGGCCAGUCUUUGUCUCCUCCUCUACCCCAAUCCACAGGGUCUCCGCGGGUUGCAGUGUGGCAGGGGUGGGCCUGUGAAAAGCUCCAGCAGGAGGCAGCCCAGCCCGGGAGCGCCGGCCCCACAGCAGUGGAAUCCUAAGGCUUGGAGAAGAAAGGCAGGGAUCCCCCAAAAUGGGAUGUUUGUAAAGAGCCCUGACUGGGACACUGCAGUCUGAGAGGCCCAGAAAGGGCCUCUUGAAACCAAGCUUAAUUCUGGGGUCUGUUUGGGAAGAUAAUUCUUUUUUUUUUUUCCAACGGAGACAUUUGUAUUCCACAUUCAGCCCCUACCCAACCAGCGAGCCUCAGAACAAGGCUGCUAUUCCAUGGCUCUAAAAACCCGGGUGGUGGUGGGGGGUGCAAAGAACCCUAUGUGGCUGCUCAAAUAAGUUCUCAAGCCUGGAACCUGUCUAGACCAGUCUACUCUGCUGCAGGGAAUAGCAGAGAGGGUAUUGCCUUCCUCCCUUGCAUGGUAUUUUAAAGUGCCCAAGCCAAAGUGGUGAUCUCAGUUGCCUGAGAGAAGAGCCUCUUCCAGGAGUUAUAGAGCAGGCCUUGCCUUCCCUCUUGCUCUCCAGACAGUGGAGAGGUCUCCAGAGCAACUGUCUGGUGGAAGACCCCCUGCUCUAGGAAGACCCAGUCCCCUCUCCAAACCACAGAUAUUUCUUUUCUUCCUCUUCCAGUCUCCUAGUGCUCCUGUUGAAUGGCUCUUACUCAAUUUAAACACCUUGGGUAGUAAUCAGCUAGCUGUCAGCUCCACCAGUGAGUGCCCAGAGGUCUGUAGGGUCUAAGAAGAAACUUAGGGAACACAGCAAUCUUUUUUCCCAAGCUAUGCUUUUAGCAACUGAGAUUUCUACCUAUGGUAGACGACAGCCAACACAGAAUGAGACUCAGGAGAGAUUUAUUUUCUAGAGUGAUAUAUAUUUUUUGUUCUUUUUCUUUUUUCUUCCAAAACAAACAAUUAGAGCUCUAGGCCCCCUGCCCUCCCCACUCCCACCCACAACCCUCCCAUAUAAGCAACAACUUAAAACAGUCAAGACAAUAUCCCCCAAAGAAAUCACAAAACACAAGCACAAUUUCACAACAGCCACAACAAUGCAAAAAAAAAAAAAUCUACUGGAAUGCCCCCUUGCA